This 468-nucleotide ribosomal RNA is filed under the name uncultured bacterium. RNAcentral's name for it is "partial 16S ribosomal RNA". It matches the Rfam family "Bacterial small subunit ribosomal RNA", at positions 28 to 507 of the family's 1533-position model. The record is from RNAcentral.
GACGAACGCUGGCGGCGUGCUUAACACAUGCAAGUCGAACGGAAAGGCCCUGCUUUUGUGGGGUGCUCGAGUGGCGAACGGGUGAGUAACACGUGAGUAACCUGCCCUUGACUUUGGGAUAACUUCAGGAAACUGGGGCUAAUACCGGAUAGGAGCUCCUGCUGCAUGGUGGGGGUUGGAAAGUUUCGGCGGUUGGGGAUGGACUCGCGGCUUAUCAGCUUGUUGGUGGGGUAGUGGCUUACCAAGGCUUUGACGGGUAGCCGGCCUGAGAGGGUGACCGGCCACAUUGGGACUGAGAUACGGCACAGACUCCUACGGGAGGCAGCAGUGGGGAAUAUUGCACAAUGGGCGGAAGCCUGAUGCAGCAACGCAGCGUGCGGGAUGACGGCAUUCGGGUUGUAAACCGCAUUCGCCUGUGACGAAGCGUGAGUGACGGUAAUGGGUAAAGAAGCACCGGCUAACUACGUG